This 446-nucleotide ribosomal RNA is filed under the name uncultured bacterium. RNAcentral describes it as "partial 16S ribosomal RNA". It matches the Rfam family "Bacterial small subunit ribosomal RNA", at positions 338 to 795 of the family's 1533-position model. The record is from RNAcentral.
CCUACGGGUGGCAGCAGUCGAGAAUCAUUCACAAUGGGGGAAACCCUGAUGGUGCGACGCCGCGUGGGGGAAUGAAGGUCUUCGGAUUGUAAACCCCUGUCAUGUGGGAGCAAAUUAAAAAGAUAGUACCACAAGAGGAAGAGACGGCUAACUCUGUGCCAGCAGCCGCGGUAAUACAGAGGUCUCAAGCGUUGUUCGGAAUCACUGGGCGUAAAGCGUGCGUAGGCUGUUUCGUAAGUCGUGUGUGAAAGGCGCGGACUCAACCCGCGGACGGCACAUGAUACUGCGAGACUAGAGUAAUGGAGGGGGAACCGGAAUUCUCGGUGUAGCAGUGAAAUGCGUAGAUAUCGAGAGGAACACUCGUGGCGAAGGCGGGUUCCUGGACAUUAACUGGCGCUGAGGCACGAAGGCCAGGGGAGCGAAAGGGAUUAGAUACCCUGGUAGUC